CGAUAAUAUUUAACCAUAGUUUUAUCUGAGCCUGUAAUCUCUACGGCGGCGGCCCACUGUCUACGAAAUACUGCAGGUUUUUUAAAUUGUACGAUUAGAUUAUGAGCGCAGCGAGGAAUGCGCACUGUGUGUUCCUAUCGGUUUUACUAUGACGUAUGCUUUUCCCCACGUCUGUUAACGACAUUUCCACCAAAAACCGUGUCCCGAUUUUCAUAUGUAGCAUCAUUUCUGGCAGAAAAUUUUUUUCUAGUUAGUGCACUGGAGUGGCGAUUUUUUUAUUU
Non-coding RNA from Cinara cedri, 281 nucleotides. The record is from the annotation of a GenBank genome assembly. Lineage: Eukaryota; Metazoa; Arthropoda; Insecta; Hemiptera; Aphididae.